Molecule: ribosomal RNA, 1478 nt
Filed under: Klebsiella pneumoniae
Lineage: Bacteria; Pseudomonadati; Pseudomonadota; Gammaproteobacteria; Enterobacterales; Enterobacteriaceae
Description: bacterial SSU rRNA
Rfam family: Bacterial small subunit ribosomal RNA
Source: RNAcentral
GGCUCAGAUUGAACGCUGGCGGCAGGCCUAACACAUGCAAGUCGAGCGGUAGCACAGAGAGCUUGCUCUCGGGUGACGAGCGGCGGACGGGUGAGUAAUGUCUGGGAAACUGCCUGAUGGAGGGGGAUAACUACUGGAAACGGUAGCUAAUACCGCAUAAUGUCGCAAGACCAAAGUGGGGGACCUUCGGGCCUCAUGCCAUCAGAUGUGCCCAGAUGGGAUUAGCUAGUAGGUGGGGUAACGGCUCACCUAGGCGACGAUCCCUAGCUGGUCUGAGAGGAUGACCAGCCACACUGGAACUGAGACACGGUCCAGACUCCUACGGGAGGCAGCAGUGGGGAAUAUUGCACAAUGGGCGCAAGCCUGAUGCAGCCAUGCCGCGUGUGUGAAGAAGGCCUUCGGGUUGUAAAGCACUUUCAGCGGGGAGGAAGGCGAUAAGGUUAAUAACCUUGUCGAUUGACGUUACCCGCAGAAGAAGCACCGGCUAACUCCGUGCCAGCAGCCGCGGUAAUACGGAGGGUGCAAGCGUUAAUCGGAAUUACUGGGCGUAAAGCGCACGCAGGCGGUCUGUCAAGUCGGAUGUGAAAUCCCCGGGCUCAACCUGGGAACUGCAUUCGAAACUGGCAGGCUAGAGUCUUGUAGAGGGGGGUAGAAUUCCAGGUGUAGCGGUGAAAUGCGUAGAGAUCUGGAGGAAUACCGGUGGCGAAGGCGGCCCCCUGGACAAAGACUGACGCUCAGGUGCGAAAGCGUGGGGAGCAAACAGGAUUAGAUACCCUGGUAGUCCACGCCGUAAACGAUGUCGAUUUGGAGGUUGUGCCCUUGAGGCGUGGCUUCCGGAGCUAACGCGUUAAAUCGACCGCCUGGGGAGUACGGCCGCAAGGUUAAAACUCAAAUGAAUUGACGGGGGCCCGCACAAGCGGUGGAGCAUGUGGUUUAAUUCGAUGCAACGCGAAGAACCUUACCUGGUCUUGACAUCCACAGAACUUAGCAGAGAUGCUUUGGUGCCUUCGGGAACUGUGAGACAGGUGCUGCAUGGCUGUCGUCAGCUCGUGUUGUGAAAUGUUGGGUUAAGUCCCGCAACGAGCGCAACCCUUAUCCUUUGUUGCCAGCGGUUCGGCCGGGAACUCAAAGGAGACUGCCAGUGAUAAACUGGAGGAAGGUGGGGAUGACGUCAAGUCAUCAUGGCCCUUACGACCAGGGCUACACACGUGCUACAAUGGCAUAUACAAAGAGAAGCGACCUCGCGAGAGCAAGCGGACCUCAUAAAGUAUGUCGUAGUCCGGAUUGGAGUCUGCAACUCGACUCCAUGAAGUCGGAAUCGCUAGUAAUCGUAGAUCAGAAUGCUACGGUGAAUACGUUCCCGGGCCUUGUACACACCGCCCGUCACACCAUGGGAGUGGGUUGCAAAAGAAGUAGGUAGCUUAACCUUCGGGAGGGCGCUUACCACUUUGUGAUUCAUGACUGGGGUGAAGCGUACA